AAGUUUUUGAGCUCCUGUGAAAACAAUGCCAUAACUAUCAUAUUACCACUUACAAGGCACUUCAACAGCAGUAACUCUUACAAAGCAUUAGCUCCCGCGAAAAGCUCUUUGAUGAAACAGCUUAUAAUUAACAAUCCAAAUUCAAAACAAAUAAAUAAGAUACAAGAAAUCAAUAACCACGCAAAAACAACUACUUAACCAAGCUGAGAGGGAUUUCCUCUUCCUGCACAACUAAAACACUAUAAGGCAUAGGCCACAGAGCAAUCACACAGAGCCUUGAAAUCAAACUCAAUAUAUGACUAAAAUGAAACAGCAAUGGCAGAAAACAGAUCAAAAGCAGAUCUGGU
This 347-nucleotide unclassified non-coding RNA is filed under the name Hevea brasiliensis (rubber tree). The record is from RNAcentral. Lineage: Eukaryota; Viridiplantae; Streptophyta; Magnoliopsida; Malpighiales; Euphorbiaceae.